Molecule: ribosomal RNA, 253 nt
Filed under: uncultured bacterium
Lineage: Bacteria
Description: partial 16S ribosomal RNA
Rfam family: Bacterial small subunit ribosomal RNA
Source: RNAcentral
UACGGAGGAUGCAAGCGUUAUCCGGAUUUAUUGGGUUUAAAGGGUGCGUAGGCGGCGCGCUAAGUCAGGGGUGAAAGACGGUGGCUCAACCAUCGCAGUGCCUUUGAUACUGGUGCGCUUGAAUGCGGAUGAGGUAGGCGGAAUGUGGCAAGUAGCGGUGAAAUGCAUAGAUAUGCCACAGAACACCGAUUGCGAAGGCAGCUUACCAAGGCGCGAUUGACGCUGAUGCACGAAAGCAUGGGUAUCGAAUGGG